GACGUAGGGGGCGAGCGUUGUCCGGAAUUACUGGGCGUAAAGUGUGCGCAGGCGGCCGAGCAAGUCGAGUGUGAAAGCCCCGGGCUCAACCUGGGAACCGCGCUUGAGACUGGCACGCUCGAGUUCGGGAGAGGAUGGUGGAAUUCCCAGUGUAGAGGUGAAAUUCGUAGAUAUUGGGAAGAACACCGAUGGCGAAGGCAGCCAUCUGGACCGACACUGACGCUGAGGCGCGAAAGCGUGGGGAGCAAACAGG
Molecule: ribosomal RNA, 253 nt
Filed under: uncultured bacterium
Lineage: Bacteria
Description: partial 16S ribosomal RNA
Rfam family: Bacterial small subunit ribosomal RNA
Source: RNAcentral